RNAcentral lists this non-coding RNA (162 nucleotides) under chicken gut metagenome. RNAcentral's name for it is "Lysine riboswitch". It matches the Rfam family "Lysine riboswitch aptamer". From Rfam's summary of the family: Riboswitches are metabolite binding domains within certain messenger RNAs that serve as precision sensors for their corresponding targets. Allosteric rearrangement of mRNA structure is mediated by ligand binding, and this results in modulation of gene expression. The record is from RNAcentral.
GAAAUAGAGGCGCGCCAGUUCAUCAGUAUGCCGCGGGAGACACCGGAGUCCGUGAUCGCGGCGGAAAGGGGACGGCGCCGAAGAAGAGGAUCGCCGGACGGUUCUUGUUCUGGCUUCACGGUUAACAGCCGUGUGGCUGUCAUCGUAUGAUGGAGCGCUAUU